Molecule: long non-coding RNA, 664 nt
Filed under: Ananas comosus (pineapple)
Lineage: Eukaryota; Viridiplantae; Streptophyta; Magnoliopsida; Poales; Bromeliaceae
Description: long non-coding RNA (ACOM_LNC025589)
Source: RNAcentral
AUAGAGAGAGAGAGUUUUGUUUUAAAAUAAAAUUUAAAUUUUUAAGAUUUAAAAUUUGUAAUCUGAAAAUUAAAAUUUUAAAUUUUAAAGUUGAUAUUUUAAAUUUUUAAAUUUUAAAUUUGAUAUUUUAUAUCUUUCAAAUUUAAAUUUGGUCUUAAAUUUAAAAUUUAAAAUUUAAAAUUUAAGAGUUAAAAAUUUAUAUUUAAAAUUAUAAAUGUAAAAUUUAAAAAUUUAAAUUCAAAUAUAAUGAGAGGGGUAAUAUAAUNUAUAAAUAAAAAAUAAUUAUAUUACCUCUUUCAUUAUAUUUGAAUUUAAAUUUUUAAAUUUUACAUUUAUAAUUUUAAAUUAAAAAUUUUAACUUUUAAAUAUUAAAAUUUGAAAUUAAAAUUUAAAACUUCAACUUUUAAAUAUUAAAAUUUGAAUUUAAAAUUUAAAAUUUAAAAUUUAAAUUCAAAUAUAAUGAGAGGGGUAAUAUAAUUAUUUUUUAUUUAUAACUAUCCAUUAUUCUUCUUAUUUGAUUUUAUCUAUCCAAAUACUAUUUUUCUUAUUCCCAGGAACAACCUAAUUUUCAUUCAAACACAAAAUUGGUCUAUUUCUCGCUUAUACCUGAACUUAUAUCUAUCCCUGGAAUAAAUAGUUCUUACUUAUAUUCGAACCAAACGAA